UGCAUUCACUACUGUAAGUCGCUCUGGAUAAGAGCGUCUGCUAAAUGUAAAUAU
Molecule: non-coding RNA, 54 nt
Organism: Salmo salar (Atlantic salmon)
Lineage: Eukaryota; Metazoa; Chordata; Actinopteri; Salmoniformes; Salmonidae
Source: Rfam